GGAAGUAAAAGUCGCAACAAGGUUUCCGUAGGUGAACCUGCGGAAGGAUCAUUGAUGAAUCUAUCCCUCGUCUCGAUACUCUCUGUAAAGAGAGUAAAGAGAUGGGUGGAACCAUCUAUCCCGCAAGGGAUGGGUGAAAUACCCUGUCGAAACGUAUCUUUCUUUUCUUCCCUUGGGUCUCCAAGGAGUGCUCCAAGGGGAGAGGAGGCAACAACGACUCUCGAUCGUCGACUAACAAGAAUCAUAAUUAAAAUCAACUUUUAACAAUGGAUCUCUUGGCUCUU
Molecule: unclassified non-coding RNA, 284 nt
Filed under: plant metagenome
Description: partial contains small subunit ribosomal RNA, internal transcribed spacer 1, and 5.8S ribosomal RNA
Rfam family: Eukaryotic small subunit ribosomal RNA (bases 1-54)
Source: RNAcentral